AUGAAGCUCCUUUGCUGGAACAUUAGGGGCUUCGGCAACCUGGGCCAUCGACGCCAACUGAUUGACUAUAUCCGGCAGGAAGAUAUCGACAUAGUAGGUCUUCAGGAGACGAUUCAUUAGGACUUCUCCAUUCAGGAGUUACAGGGGCUCUCUCGACACCCAUUUGCCUGGCAAUGGCUGCCGGCGUCUGGGUUGUCUGGAGGCAUACUCCUGGCGGUCAGGGAGGAUUUCUUUUCAGUGGAUGAUAUAUGGACCACGGAGAAUUUUUUUCCUUAG
This 276-nucleotide ribosomal RNA is filed under the name Triticum aestivum (bread wheat). RNAcentral's name for it is "partial small subunit ribosomal RNA". The record is from RNAcentral. Lineage: Eukaryota; Viridiplantae; Streptophyta; Magnoliopsida; Poales; Poaceae.